RNAcentral lists this ribosomal RNA (253 nucleotides) under uncultured prokaryote. RNAcentral's name for it is "partial 16S ribosomal RNA". It matches the Rfam family "Bacterial small subunit ribosomal RNA", at positions 525 to 777 of the family's 1533-position model. The record is from RNAcentral.
ACGUAGGCAGCGAGCGUUGUUCGGAGUUACUGGGCGUAAAGGGUGUGUAGGCGGUUGUUUAAGUUUGGUGUGAAAUCCCCCGGCUCAACCGGGGAACUGGAUCCGAAACGGGCAGUCUUGAGGGACGUAGGGGGGGCUGGAACUUCCGGUGGAGCGGUGAAAUGCGUUGAGAUCGGAAGGAACGCCCGUGGCGAAAGCGAGCCCCUGGACGUCUGCUGACGCUGAGGCGCGAAAGCUAGGGGAGCGAACGGGA